Long non-coding RNA from Cynoglossus semilaevis (tongue sole), 1021 nucleotides. RefSeq lists it as uncharacterized. The record is from RefSeq and is a predicted model, not a curated record. The transcript has 4 exons. Lineage: Eukaryota; Metazoa; Chordata; Actinopteri; Pleuronectiformes; Cynoglossidae.
AUAUCUGCUGAAGACUUGUCUUCAAACAUCUUGUUUUUACCUUCUUUGUCCACAGAGAGCGGUGGCAUCUGCAUCUCAUCCAGGCCUUCACAACCAGAAGCAGAGAUUGUCCCAGGAAUGGCCAUGAGACCUUUUUGGGAAUAAAGCCAGUGCUCAUGGACAGUGAGCUCUGACUCUGUCGCCAUUUCUCCAAUCAGGUUCUUCCACACUGCGUACGAGGAGGAGUUUGGCUCCAUCAACUGUGGCUUUCCAUCGUGAUGGGAAGAGUGGGUGAGCCAAUCAACACUGAAGCAUGGCAGUGGUACUACAGUGAGGUCAGAGACAAGCGUUGUCCUGUGGUGGAUACCUGGUGAAAAACAGGUAAAUGGGAACACACUGUUGUUACUCUUCAGACAAUUCAAAAGUCACGUUACAUGUUUUUAUCUCACACACUUGAGUUUGUUCUGGUUCUGGAAAACAAAAAAAUAUAACUGAGAAUAAUUGAACACCAUUGCAUUGCAUUGACCCAGAUAUUCUGCUAAACUAACUAAGGAUUACAGUUUAGUCUAAUUUUCCUGCACCAAUUUCUCUAAUGAAGACUACGUGACUUUAUAUUCAUAAAAUCCAUUUGUUGGAUCUGCAAACAAGAGUAUGUUUUUAGUUCCUUUUUUGUACUUAUAGUAUAUUUUAGUAGUUAUAUUUAGUAUAUACUGUAUAGUUAUAUUUAGUACUUAUAGUAAUUUUUUUUAGCUUUUUUUGUUUAUUUUUUAACUUGGAUAUGUAGUUUAAUCAUUGUGUAACUUGAUUGCUGUGCUAUUGUAAUUAACAGAUUUUUUAGUUAGUUUAUUUGUAGCUUAGUUGUAAUGUGGUGAAAUCAUUGUGUAACUUGAGCUGUAUUUGAAACCUUCCAAUAAAAGAAAAUUGUUGGACCAUUUUGUGCAUUCUCAGCCAAUAAUGAAGAAUAUGAAUGAGUUGCUCAUUGGCUUUUAGGGCAUGCAUUGUUAAACUCAAAGUCAAGGGUUAUACUAGUUACAGUUUAUAU